GCACAUCAUAAAUAUAUAAUAUUUACUCGAAUAUUCAUGGAUCCAGUAUUUUUGAAACAAUAGUAAUCUAUGAAGUAAAAUAUAUUCAUUUGCCAGUAUGUGGUGCAGGGUGCUGGACUCGGAAACACAAGGUCCGGGGCGAGGGUAGAUAGCAUAAAAGUUAUGUAAAGAGACUCUCAUGCCUGAGGCUCCAAAGUCCCAGGUUCAAUCCCCUGCACCACCAUAAGCCAGAGCUAAGCAGUGCUCUGGUAAAAAAAAAAAAAAAAGUUGUAUCUGAACUAUAGGGAUUUACUAAUCAGGAAAAUACCUGAAAGGUGUACGUGAUUUUUUUU
Molecule: long non-coding RNA, 332 nt
Organism: Erinaceus europaeus (western European hedgehog)
Lineage: Eukaryota; Metazoa; Chordata; Mammalia; Eulipotyphla; Erinaceidae
Exons: 2
Source: RefSeq, a predicted model, not a curated record